GUGGGGAAUAUUGGACAAUGGGCGCAAGCCUGAUCCAGCCAUGCCGCGUGAGUGAUGAUGCCCUAGGGUUGUAAAGCUCUUUCACCGGUGAAGAUAAUGACGGUAACCGGAGAAGAAGCCCCGGCUAACUUCGUGCCAGCAGCCGCGGUAAUACGAAGGGGGCUAGCGUUGUUCGGAAUUACUGGGCGUAAAGCGCACGUAGGCGGACUAUUAAGUCAGGGGUGAAAUCCCGGGGCUCAACCCCGGAACUGCCUUUGAUACUGGUCGUCUCGAGUAUGGUAGAGGUGAGUGGAAUUCCGAGUGUAGAGGUGAAAUUCGUAGAUAUUCGGAGGAACACCAGUGGCGAAGGCGGCUCACUGGACCAUUACUGACGCUGAGGUGCGAAAGCGUGGGGAGCAAACAGGAUUAGAUACCCCGGUAGUCC
This 424-nucleotide ribosomal RNA is filed under the name uncultured bacterium. RNAcentral describes it as "bacterial SSU rRNA". It matches the Rfam family "Bacterial small subunit ribosomal RNA", at positions 354 to 796 of the family's 1533-position model. The record is from RNAcentral.